Long non-coding RNA from Pogoniulus pusillus (Red-fronted tinkerbird), 494 nucleotides. RefSeq lists it as uncharacterized. The record is from RefSeq and is a predicted model, not a curated record. NCBI's taxonomy places the organism in Eukaryota, Metazoa, Chordata, Aves, Piciformes, Lybiidae. The transcript is spliced from 2 exons.
GCCCAUUUGGGCAGAGGGAUCCUCCUCCCAUCGUCACUGCAAUUACAGGAGCGAAGCUGCAAACGCCUCUGAGAAGCGCUGGAGCCACAGGGAGCAGACGCCGGAGGACCCUGCGAGGGAAGCGGAAUGGAUCCAGCCUCAGCGUCACUGCGCUGCGCCAGAGCGGCUAAAGCUCUGCCUGCUCUUGUAGCUAGCCUGCAGCUGCCUUGGUUUGGUACCAGGGGAAGUCCUGACCGUGUGGUGGAUUAGGAACUUCCCCACACCAGCGUUAUUUGCUGUUUCCUAGGCCAGCUCAGGCAGCUUGGAAGUAAGGUGAAGCUCUCUUUGCAGCAUGGCAAAAUUUAGAAGCACAUCUCUGGAGGUCUUUGCAGUUACAGACAAGUGAGCAAUAAUACAGAAAUGCAAACUCCUUCCUGGAGGAAGAAAACUGCCCUGAAGGGCUCAAAGAUAACCCCUCUUUUCCUCCCCCCUCUACCUUGGACAGGCAAACAAAA